UUUUUAGUAUGUGUAUGUCCCAUGUAAUAUUUGGGACAUACUCAAACUAAAA
This is a non-coding RNA of Equus caballus (horse), 52 nucleotides long. Lineage: Eukaryota; Metazoa; Chordata; Mammalia; Perissodactyla; Equidae. The record is from Rfam.